Molecule: long non-coding RNA, 380 nt
Filed under: Rattus norvegicus (Norway rat)
Lineage: Eukaryota; Metazoa; Chordata; Mammalia; Rodentia; Muridae
Description: long non-coding RNA NONRATT033720
Source: RNAcentral
GAGGAUUAGCUGAUUCAAAUUUGCUACCUCUUCUCUCUCCUCUCCCUCUGAAGGCAGCCAGGGGCUAUGUCAUGGGUAUCCGGUGGCCACUUCGCAGAGCUGUCCGUGGGAAACAGAAACCUCCAGCCAGCCUUAUGGAAUGGAACUCUCCCGCCUUCUGCCACUACGGGCUCCCGUGAUCAUCAGAGUGGGAAAGCCUCAUCCUGAAGCACCAGGCAGAGCCAUCCUCAGUCCUGAUUCUCAGAUAGCUGCAGAUCUCGGUUUGCAUACAGUUCCUCACAGAAUCCGGGGUGUCUCCAGGCCGCUGAAGAUGAUAACAAGGGGUUGUGCAUUUGUCCGUGUCUCACACAGCCAACAGGGUGUCACCAAAUCUCCUCGUG